GUCCUAGUGGUCCAGUGGGUAGGACUUGGCGUUUUCACUGCUGUGGCCUGGGUUCAGUCCCUAGUUAGGGAA
This 72-nucleotide transfer RNA is filed under the name Ovis aries (sheep). It matches the Rfam family "tRNA". Rfam says of the family: Transfer RNA (tRNA) molecules are approximately 80 nucleotides in length. Their secondary structure includes four short double-helical elements and three loops (D, anti-codon, and T loops). Lineage: Eukaryota; Metazoa; Chordata; Mammalia; Artiodactyla; Bovidae. The record is from Rfam by way of RNAcentral.